This 444-nucleotide ribosomal RNA is filed under the name Klebsiella pneumoniae. RNAcentral's name for it is "bacterial SSU rRNA". It matches the Rfam family "Bacterial small subunit ribosomal RNA", at positions 339 to 798 of the family's 1533-position model. Lineage: Bacteria; Pseudomonadati; Pseudomonadota; Gammaproteobacteria; Enterobacterales; Enterobacteriaceae. The record is from RNAcentral.
CUACGGGGGGCUGCAGUGGGGAAUAUUGGGCAAUGGGCGCAAGCCUGACCCAGCAACGCCGCGUGAAGGAAGAAGGCUUUCGGGUUGUAAACUUCUUUUAAGAGGGAAGAGCAGAAGACGGUACCUCUUGAAUAAGCCACGGCUAACUACGUGCCAGCAGCCGCGGUAAUACGUAGGUGGCAAGCGUUGUCCGGAUUUACUGGGUGUAAAGGGCGUGCAGCCGGGAAGACAAGUCAGAUGUGAAAUCCCGCGGCUCAACCGCGGAACUGCAUUUGAAACUGUUUUUCUUGAGUACCGGAGAGGUCAUCGGAAUUCCUUGUGUAGCGGUGAAAUGCGUAGAUAUAAGGAAGAACACCAGUGGCGAAGGCGGAUGACUGGACGGCAACUGACGGUGAGGCGCGAAAGCGUGGGGAGCAAACAGGAUUAGAUACCCUAGUAGUCCUA